Molecule: long non-coding RNA, 1123 nt
Organism: Myxocyprinus asiaticus (Chinese sucker)
Lineage: Eukaryota; Metazoa; Chordata; Actinopteri; Cypriniformes; Catostomidae
Exons: 3
Source: RefSeq, a predicted model, not a curated record
UGGAACUGUCCCUGUAAGGAGACUCUUGUUUAUUUUUGCUAGGAUGCUUGGUCCAACAACAUCAAAAACCUGGAUAAGAAAGAGUGUGGGAAUGAUAUCAUGUGGCAACAUACGACCUCCGUUUACCAGAGCCACCCAGAUUUUCACUGGAUCGCCAGUUGGCUGUACUGACAGCACAGUGGACGAAGAUUGCAGUGGUUUACUCCACCUCAACGGAGACGUGGCGACUGACCAUGAGGAACGCUAAGGAGAGAGUCCUGGAUCACAGGAAAGACCCAUUGCCUCGUGACUCCUAUCCUGAGGUCACCAGAACCGUCUGGAUCCAGCUCCAUUCUUGCUUCAUGUUGGACUCCACUGCUACGUGUCACUGUGUGAUGAUGACUAAUAGCAGCCGGUGCCAGCCAAACAUCACUUCAGUCUAUUACGAUGGACUUCAGAGGAUGAACUGAUGCCAACUCCAACCAUAAGACAUGGGAUAAAUCAUAUGCCACUGCCUGAACCUUGGACAUAGGAUAGACCUCACCGAAAUUACCGGCCGGUUGAACUGCGAUGCCUCUCACUGAUCUCUGCCUGCAUCACCUCGGUCUAAUGAUGGACUACACUCUUAUAAUGGAAUACAUAGACUAUCAAUUAAUUGCCAACAAAAGCCUUCAUCAGCCAACUAACAAAGGACAAUGCAUCUAUGUGAACUUCUGCAGUUAAUCCAGGAUGAACUUCAAAGACAUUAGUCAUUAAUCUUAAAGUUCUUACAAAAUCUUUGUUUAAACACUGACCCUUAACACUUACUAAGUUUAAUCAUUUUAAACCAUGACUUACACUGCAAGUCAUAUUCAUGAUGUUAGCCAGAGGGGAACUGUCCCCACAGUGAGCCUGGUUUCUCCCAAGAUUAUUUUUCUCCAUUAACCAACACCUUAUGGAAUUUUCAGCUUACUCACUGAGUUUCUAAAUACAAUUACUAUUUAAUUACUUAUUUUUUAACACAAUUCACAAUCGUAUUUUAUCAAAUUACACAAUGAUGACUCUAAGACAUUAUAGAUAUUACAGUUUUAUCUUGUUAAUGCGUAAUUUUCUGUAAAGCUGCUUUGAAACGAUGUGUGUUGUGAAAAGCGCUAUACAAAUAAAA